Molecule: ribosomal RNA, 2099 nt
Filed under: Lentibacillus salicampi
Lineage: Bacteria; Bacillati; Bacillota; Bacilli; Caryophanales; Bacillaceae
Description: Bacterial large subunit ribosomal RNA
Rfam family: Bacterial large subunit ribosomal RNA
Source: Rfam by way of RNAcentral
CCUGAGUAUACGGUCGCAGACCCGAAACCGUGUGAUCUACCCAUGUCCAGGGUGAAGGUCAGGUAACACUGACUGGAGGCCCGAACCCACGUAUGCUGAAAAAUGCGGGGAUGAGGUGUGGGUAGGGGUGAAAUGCCAAUCGAACACGGAGAUAGCUGGUUCUCUCCGAAAUAGCUUUAGGGCUAGCCUCAAGGCAAGCGUCCCGGAGGUAGAGCACUGAUUGGACGAGGGGCCCUCACCGGGUUACCGAAUUCAGUCAAACUCCGAAUGCCGAAGACGCAUCCUUGGGAGUCAGACUAUGGGUGAUAAGGUUCAUAGUCGAAAGGGAAACAGCCCAGACCGCCAGCUAAGGUCCCUAAGUAUACGUUAAGUGGAAAAGGAUGUGGAGUUGCCCAGACAACCAGUAUGUUGGCUUAGAAGCAGCCAUCAUUUAAAGAGUGCGUAAUAGCUCACUGGUCGAGUGACUCUGCGCCGAAAAUGUACCGGGGCUAAACGUAUCACCGAAGCUGCGGAUUGUUCUGACGAACAAUGGUAGGAGAGCGUUCCAAAUGCUGCGAAGUCAGACCGUGAGGACUGGUGGAGCGUUUGGAAGUGAGAAUGCCGGUAUAAGUAGCGAGAAAAGAGUGAGAAUCUCUUUCACCGAAAGCCCAAGGUUUCCUGAGGAAGGCUCGUCCGCUCAGGGUUAGUCGGGGCCUAAGCCGAGGCCGAAAGGCGUAGGCGAUGGAUAACAGGCAGAUAUUCCUGUACCACCUUGUUGAGCGUUUGAACGAUGGGGGGACGCAGCAGGAUACGGAAAGCGCACCGAUGGAUGUGUGCGCCCAAGCAGUAAAGAAGUUGGCCAGGCAAAUCCGGUCAGCAAUUCUGAGCUGUGACGGGGAGGGAAAUUGAGUACCGAAGUUCCGGAUUCCACACUGCCAAGAAAAGCCUCUAGUAAGUUCACAGGUGCCCGUACCGCAAACCGACACAGGCAGGCAAGGAGAGAAUCCUAAGGUGAUCGGGAGAACUCUCGUUAAGGAACUCGGCAAAAUGACCCCGUAACUUCGGGAGAAGGGGUGCUCACACCGAGUGAGCCGCAGUGAAUAGGCCCAAGCGACUGUUUAGCAAAAACACAGGUCUCUGCGAAGCCGAAAGGCGAAGUAUAGGGGCUGACACCUGCCCGGUGCUGGAAGGUUAAGGGGAAGCGUUAGCGCCAACGGGCGCGAAGCGGCGAACCGAAGCCCCAGUAAACGGCGGCCGUAACUAUAACGGUCCUAAGGUAGCGAAAUUCCUUGUCGGGUAAGUUCCGACCCGCACGAAAGGUGCAACGACUUGGGCACUGUCUCAACGAGAGACCCGGUGAAAUUAUACGAUGCGUGAAGAUGCGCAUUACCCGCGACAGGACGGAAAGACCCCGUGGAGCUUUACUGUAGCCUGAUAUUGAAUGUUGGUACAGCUUGUACAGGAUAGGUGGGAGCCGUCGAAGCGUGAGCGCCAGCUUACGUGGAGGCAUCCGUGGGAUACCACCCUGGCUGUACGGACAUUCUAACCCAGGACCGUUACCCGGUCCGGAGACAGUGUCAGGCAGGCAGUUUGACUGGGGCGGUCGCCUCCCAAAGAGUAACGGAGGCGCCCAAAGGUUCCCUCAGAAUGGUUGGAAAUCAUUCGCAGAGUGUAAAGGCAGAAGGGAGCUUGACUGCGAGACCUACAAGUCGAGCAGGGACGAAAGUCGGGCUUAGUGAUCCGGUGGUUCCGCAUGGAAGGGCCAUCGCUCAACGGAUAAAAGCUACCCCGGGGAUAACAGGCUUAUCUCCCCCAAGAGUUCACAUCGACGGGGAGGUUUGGCACCUCGAUGUCGGCUCAUCGCAUCCUGGGGCUGUAGUCGGUCCCAAGGGUUGGGCUGUUCGCCCAUUAAAGCGGUACGCGAGCUGGGUUCAGAACGUCGUGAGACAGUUCGGUCCCUAUCCGUCGUGGGCAUUGGAAGUCUGAGAGGAGCUGUCCUUAGUACGAGAGGACCGGGAUGGACACACCGCUGGUGUACCAGUUGUUCCGCCAGGAGCACGGCUGGGUAGCUACGUGUGGUCAGGAUAAGUGCUGAAAGCAUCUAAGCAUGAAGCCCCCCU